This is a non-coding RNA of Pelobates cultripes (western spadefoot toad), 341 nucleotides long. Lineage: Eukaryota; Metazoa; Chordata; Amphibia; Anura; Pelobatidae. The record is from the annotation of a GenBank genome assembly.
GGGGGGGGCGGCAAACUUUACUUUUGCCUAGGGCGGCAAAAAUCCUUGCACCGGCCCUGGCUGGAGGGGGCUGUGUGAGCUGUGGCCGCAUAGUGUCCCAUGGUAGUUAGGGUGCCGUGCGGCCAGUACAGCUCACACAAGCAAACAGCUGAUAAACUGGCCGCACGGAGGAAAUGUGUAUGUGUGACUGUCUGCCUGUGACUGUAUGUGACUGUCUGCCUGUAACUGAGUGUGUGACUGCCUGUAACUGAGUGUGUGACUGUCUGUAACUGAGUGUGUGACUGUCUGCCUGUAAGUGUGUGGGGCUGCAGGGAUUUUGUAGAAGGGGGCGGGGGUUUUGU